CACACACGCAAGACUUGGAAGGACAGUAAAUUAUUCUCAUCAUGUCAGUGGUCACUCAGCAACCGGGACAUACCCCCUCUGGAGCUAUGAUUACAACAGGAGAGUGGAGCAGUAAUAUGUGUGACUGUUUUGAGGACUGUGGCAUCUGUCUUUUUGGUUUAUGCUUCCCAUCAUGCCUAGGAUGUUAUGUGGCCAACAAAUAUGGAGAAAACUGCCUUCUGCCCUUUGCUCCAGGUGGAAUUACAGCAUUACGCACGCAUAUGCGCCUUUCUUAUAAUAUAAGUGGAACUGUAUGUAAUGAUGCCCUUAUGAUGUGUUUCUGUGGCUGGUGUGAAAUCUGCAGGAUGGCAAGGGAAGUGAGACGUCACUGUCAUUAAAGGUUUCAAGAGCAGCAUUGAAUGACUUAACGGGCGCAAUAAAAAAUGUAUUAUGCAAAAUUUAUUUUGUGUUUUUUUUUAAUAAACAAUUUUGAAAGUGCAAA
This is a long non-coding RNA of Bombina bombina (fire-bellied toad), 481 nucleotides long. RefSeq lists it as uncharacterized. The transcript has 5 exons. Lineage: Eukaryota; Metazoa; Chordata; Amphibia; Anura; Bombinatoridae. The record is from RefSeq and is a predicted model, not a curated record.